RNAcentral lists this ribosomal RNA (112 nucleotides) under Caerostris darwini. Lineage: Eukaryota; Metazoa; Arthropoda; Arachnida; Araneae; Araneidae. The record is from RNAcentral.
AACGGCCAUACCAUGCUGAAUAUACCGGUUCUCGUUAGAUCACCGAAGUCAAGCAUCAUUGGGCUCGGUCAGUACUUGGGUGGGUGACCACCUGGGAACACCGCGUGCCGUU